GACGAACCGUGCGAACGUUGUUCGGAAUCACUGGGCUUAAAGGGCGCGUAGGCGGGCUGUCAAGUCCGCGGUGAAAUACUCCAGCUCAACUGGAGAACUGCCGCGGAUACUGGCGGUCUCGAGGGAGGUAGGGGCGUGCGGAACACUAGGUGGAGCGGUGAAAUGCGUUGAUAUCUAGUGGAACUCCGGUGGCGAAGGCGGCACGCUGGACCUCUUCUGACGCUGAGGCGCGAAAGCCAGGGGAGCGAACGGG
RNAcentral lists this ribosomal RNA (253 nucleotides) under uncultured bacterium. Its description in RNAcentral is "partial 16S ribosomal RNA". It matches the Rfam family "Bacterial small subunit ribosomal RNA", at positions 524 to 776 of the family's 1533-position model. The record is from RNAcentral.